GCAUAUUAAAUAAGAUUAAGAAGAAACCAGUGAUAUAUAGCGUGCCCACUGUCUUCAACAGCAUAAGAAAUGAGAAGAAAAAAAAAGUCAAAGACAAAAGUCAGGAAUUUAUAAGAUCCUGGUUGAGUUCAAAAAAUCAAAACAAAAUUCUUCAUUUAUAGGUGUUAUUACGAGGACUUUACAUCAGAGGAUUACGGAGCACAAAACAGACAUAGCCAUAGGGGCAACGACCACUGCCCUAGCAGAAGCUGGGACAAGACAAAGAUCAUGAAGCGAAUAAUUAAGGAAUCGCAAGCCCUAUUGUUGGAAGGCUUGGAAAUAAUAAGAGCUAAAACCUUAGGUCCAGUGUUAAAUGAAAGGACGGCCUUAGGAAUCCCGGAUGCAUGGAAGUACCUGGUGCAAAGAAAUGCAUGAAAGAGACUCCAUAAUAGCUACACAAUAAACACCCAGUGAGAGCUGUAAAGAAAAGAAAAUAUAAGGAUCAAAUGGAGGACUGUGUAUUUUGUUUACUUUUAGUUUUUUCCUUUCAACAUUUAAACAAAAUACACAGUCCACCAUUUGAUCCUUAUAUUUUCUUUUCUUUACAGCUCUCGCUGGGUGUUUAUUGUGUAGCUAUUAUGGAGUCUCUUUUAUGCAUUUCUUUGCAUCCAGGAUUCCUAAGGCCGUCCUUUCAUUUAACACUGGGCCUAAGGUUUUAGCUCUUAUUAUUUCCAAGCCUUCCAACAAUAGGGCUUGCGAUUCCUUAAUUAUUUGCUUCACGAUCUUUGUCUCGUCUCAUUCUAUUUUCACUUCUGCAUAUACAGCUUUUGCUAGGGCAGUGGUUGUUGCUCCUAUGGCUAUGUCUGUUUUGUGCUCCAUAAUCCUCUGAUGUAAAGUCCUCGUAGUAACACCUAUGUAUGAA
Molecule: long non-coding RNA, 901 nt
Filed under: Androctonus crassicauda
Lineage: Eukaryota; Metazoa; Arthropoda; Arachnida; Scorpiones; Buthidae
Source: RNAcentral